GUCUUUCGAGGUCGCGGGCGGUAGAAACGGAAGUAUCUACCAAACGCUAACCCUGACUUUCCACAGCUCUCCUUCCUGAAUUGCUUGUCUUUAUGGUGGGGUUCCAGGCAAUAGAGGAGAGUUUAAAUAACAAAAGAACCCUACUCUGAGCGGUCUCUCGAAUGAUAUGCGUGCGUACAACAUUCGUAAGAAUACAAACUAUUUUCAAUUGGCCACAUUAGGUCGCCCCCGGUCCGGCCAUCAUCUCCUCGUCGGGUUGUUCCUGCUGAGUUCGUCCCAGCGGUGGCUCGUGGGAGUUGAUAAUGUAUUGAAAGUAGGUUGUGUCCUAUGUUCAGAUUAAACUGCCAUCAUAUACGCCGUCACAUUAGGUGUUGUGGUCGACAAAAACGUUGGCAAACAAUU
Molecule: non-coding RNA, 402 nt
Filed under: Haliotis discus hannai (Japanese disc abalone)
Lineage: Eukaryota; Metazoa; Mollusca; Gastropoda; Lepetellida; Haliotidae
Source: RNAcentral